CUUUACUAGAGAUUGUUUCAGUAGAUGUUUGAAUACUAUUAUAAAUCUGGUUGUCAAUCUCAUUUUGUUUUGUUCUUUUAUGUCAUCUUCUAACUCUAUUUUGGGUGCUUGUUUUGUUACUAAUUUCUGAUUUGAACUUGAUAUACUAUUUUAUUUGUUUGUGACAACAAAUCCAACAAAUCUUUCUAGAGCAUUUUUUUGAGAUUGAAUUAGUUUUUCAAUUUUUCUUUUCUUUUUGAAUUUUUCAUACCCACAUUCAUAUUUUCUAUUAGACAUUUGAAUCUGAAAAAUAAUAGUAUCAAACAAAGCAAUUAAGACAAUCACUACAAAUAAACCAAAAUAUAAAAGAGUUAAAAAUGAUAAAACUUAAUCAUGUCAAGACAAAUGAACUCAAAUCUCGAAAAGCGGUGUCGAACUCGAUAAUGAAAAGUAGUGCUGGAGACUGACGGGUAGAGUUGGAGAAGAGGCCAAAGUACUAGCCGGAAAGACGUCGGGCGGCGAAGUGGAGUUGGAGAGGACAAAGGUAAGGCCGAACCUGAGGCUGCUCGGGAUCUUGGGUGUUGCUUUUCUCUCCUCUUUAAAUUUUUUCAAUAACAAAGAGAAAUUAAGGGUGUCUCUUUUCGAUUGCCGAACGCUCUCUCUCUCCUCUGUUCUUCGAUUCACAUGGGCGACAAGCACAUGUAAUACGAUGUGGUUUCGUUUGUUGGCUUCUCUCCUCUCUUGACUCUUCCCUCCUCUUCUCAUGCUGCUGCCACUGCCAAUAGUGGGAGUGAGAUGAUGUCUUUUGUUGUUAUGCCUAAAGGCAGCUCUGGUCACGCUUCUAUAAGAAGCUUGAGCGAGAAGCAACAGAGAACGACGAAGAAGGAAUAGGAAAGGA
RNAcentral lists this long non-coding RNA (877 nucleotides) under Phoenix dactylifera (date palm). RNAcentral describes it as "long non-coding RNA (PDAC_LNC004288)". The record is from RNAcentral. Lineage: Eukaryota; Viridiplantae; Streptophyta; Magnoliopsida; Arecales; Arecaceae.